Small nucleolar RNA from Rana temporaria (common frog), 206 nucleotides. RefSeq annotates it as small nucleolar RNA SNORA74. Lineage: Eukaryota; Metazoa; Chordata; Amphibia; Anura; Ranidae. The transcript has a single exon. The record is from RefSeq and is a predicted model, not a curated record.
UCCAGUGGUAGUCAGCUGUCCGGUGCUGUUUGAUGCCUGUGAUAGUGUUACACUGCUGGCAGAUGAAGGCACUGCCAUCUAAUACCUCUUGCCACACUCGCUGUUCUGGUGACAUGUGGCACUGGUAUCAGGCAGUGUCAUGCCUCCUUGAGAGUGCGCUGACCACCUUUUUCCUGUGGUUUGGUGCUAGUCUGGAAGCAUACAUG